MicroRNA precursor from Oryza rufipogon (brownbeard rice), 205 nucleotides. It matches the Rfam family "MIR812 microRNA precursor family". The record is from Rfam. Lineage: Eukaryota; Viridiplantae; Streptophyta; Magnoliopsida; Poales; Poaceae.
AAAAAGUAAAACCUGAGUUUUCGUUUCCAAUUUUGACUGUACGUUUUAUAUGAAAUUUUUUUAUAAUUCGUAUUUUCAUUGUUGUUAAUUGAUAAAACAUGAUUAAUAUUUUAUGUGUGACUUGUCUUUUUAAUUUUUUUCAUAAUUUUUUUAAAUAAGACGGACGGUCAAACGUUGGACACGGAAACCAAGGUUUGUCUUUUUU